GAUGAACGCUGGCGGCGUGCUUAAUACAUGCCAGUCGAGCGAACGGACCAUAAUCUUGUUUUUCUGUCGUUUGCCGCGCGCGUGUGAGACACACGUGUAUACUCUCCUUAUAUUUGUGGUAUAAUCUCGGGAAUCCGGAUCUUAUCCGGUAGAAUCUCUUGAACCCUAUGGGUCAAAGGUGAAAUUCGGCGUUUCUGUAUGUUCUAGAGGCUUCUCCGCUGCAUUAGUUAGUUGGUAAGUUAACGGGUUACCAAGGGGACGAUGCAUAGCCGACUUGCUAGGGUGAUCGGCCACACUGGAAGUGAGACACGGUCCAGGCUACUACGGGAGGCAGCAGUCGGGGAUCUGCGGCAAUAGGCGAGAGCCUGACGGAGCAACGCCGCGUGAGUGAUGAAGGUGUUCGGAUCGUAAAACUCUGUUAUUAGGGAAGAACAUAUGUGUAAGUAAAUGUGCAGAUCUUGACGGUACCUAAUCAGAAAGCCACGGCUAACUACGUG
This 497-nucleotide ribosomal RNA is filed under the name uncultured bacterium. Its description in RNAcentral is "partial 16S ribosomal RNA". It matches the Rfam family "Bacterial small subunit ribosomal RNA", at positions 28 to 507 of the family's 1533-position model. The record is from RNAcentral.